GACGAACGCUGGCGGCGUGCCUAACACAUGCAAGUCGAACGGAAAGGCCCUGCUUUUGUGGGGUGCUCGAGUGGCGAACGGGUGAGUAACACGUGAGUAACCUGCCCUUGACUUUGGGAUAACUUCAGGAAACUGGGGCUAAUACCGGAUAGGAGCUCCUGCUGCAUGGUGGAGGUUGGAAAGUUUCGGCGGUUGGGGAUGGACUCGCGGCUUAUCAGCUUGUUGGUGGGGUAGUGGCUUACCAAGGCUUUGACGGGUAGCCGGCCUGAGAGGGUGACCGGCCACAUUGGGACUGAGAUACGGCCCAGACUCCUACGGGAGGCAGCAGUGGGGAAUAUUGCACAAUGGGCGGAAGCCUGAUGCAGCAACGCCGCGUGCGGGAUGACGGCCUUCGGGUUGUAAACCGCUUUCGCCUGUGACGAAGCGUGAGUGACGGUAAUGGGUAAAGAAGCACCGGCUAACUACGUG
This 468-nucleotide ribosomal RNA is filed under the name uncultured bacterium. RNAcentral describes it as "partial 16S ribosomal RNA". It matches the Rfam family "Bacterial small subunit ribosomal RNA", at positions 28 to 507 of the family's 1533-position model. The record is from RNAcentral.